This 467-nucleotide ribosomal RNA is filed under the name uncultured Alphaproteobacteria bacterium. Its description in RNAcentral is "bacterial SSU rRNA". It matches the Rfam family "Bacterial small subunit ribosomal RNA", at positions 932 to 1397 of the family's 1533-position model. Lineage: Bacteria; Pseudomonadati; Pseudomonadota; Alphaproteobacteria. The record is from RNAcentral.
GUGGAGCAUGUGGUUNAAUUCGAAGAUACGCGCAGAACCUUACCAACACUUGACAUGUUCGUCGCGACUCUAAGAGAUUAGAGUUUUCGGUUCGGCCGGACGAAACACAGGUGCUGCAUGGCUGUCGUCAGCUCGUGUCGUGAGAUGUUGGGUUAAGUCCCGCAACGAGCGCAACCCUCACUUUUAGUUGCCAUCAUUAAGUUGGGCACUCUGAAAGAACUGCCAGUGAUAAGCUGGAGGAAGGUGGGGAUGACGUCAAGUCCUCAUGGCCCUUACGUGUUGGGCUACACACGUGCUACAAUGGCAUCUACAACAGGAAGCAAAACGGCAACGUUAAGCAAAUCCCGAAAAGAUGCCUCAGUUCGGAUUGCACUCUGCAACUCGAGUGCAUGAAGCUGGAAUUACUAGUAAUCGUGGAUCAGCGUGCCACGGUGAAUGCGUUCCCGGGUCUUGUACACACCGCCCGU